GAUGAACGCUGGCGGCGUGCCUAAUACAUGCAAGUCGAGCGAACAGAUGAGGAGCUUGCUCCUCUGACGUUAGCGGCGGACGGGUGAGUAACACGUGGAUAACCUACCUAUAAGACUGGGAUAACUUCGGGAAACCGGAGCUAAUACCGGAUAAUAUAUUGAACCGCAUGGUUCAAUAGUGAAAGACGGUUUUGCUGUCACUUAUAGAUGGAUCCGCGCCGCUUUAGCUAGUUGGUAAGGUAACGGCUUACCAAGGCAACGAUGCGUAGCCGACCUGAGAGGGUGAUCGGCCACACUGGAACUGAGACACGGUCCAGACUCCUACGGGAGGCAGCAGUAGGGAAUCUUCCGCAAUGGGCGAAAGCUUGACGGAGCAACGCCGCGUGAGUGAUGAAGGUCUUCGGAUCGUAAAACUCUGUUAUUAGGGAAGAACAAAUGUGUAAGUAACUAUGCACGUCUUGACGGUACCUAAUCAGAAAGCCACGGCUAACUACGUG
This 497-nucleotide ribosomal RNA is filed under the name uncultured bacterium. RNAcentral's name for it is "partial 16S ribosomal RNA". It matches the Rfam family "Bacterial small subunit ribosomal RNA", at positions 28 to 507 of the family's 1533-position model. The record is from RNAcentral.